Gossypium hirsutum (cotton) is the source of this 146-nucleotide non-coding RNA. Lineage: Eukaryota; Viridiplantae; Streptophyta; Magnoliopsida; Malvales; Malvaceae. The record is from Rfam.
UAUUAAAAUUUUCAUCUAUUUAUAUAUUGUUAAAAAUUGUCGUGGUUGACAGAAUAACCAGAUUGUGAUACUGGUGUGUCACGUGUACCUCAUGUUGAUGUACAAAUAUCAGUUUUUAACCGUAGAAAUGGAUACAAAUUUUAACA